RNAcentral lists this ribosomal RNA (496 nucleotides) under uncultured bacterium. Its description in RNAcentral is "partial 16S ribosomal RNA". It matches the Rfam family "Bacterial small subunit ribosomal RNA", at positions 28 to 506 of the family's 1533-position model. The record is from RNAcentral.
GAUGAACGCUGGCGGCGUGCCUAAUACAUGCAAGUCGAGCGAACAGACGAGGAGCUUGCUCCUCUGACGUUAGCGGCGGACGGGUGAGUAACACGUGGAUAACCUACCUAUAAGACUGGGAUAACUUCGGGAAACCGGAGCUAAUACCGGAUAACAUGUUGAACCGCAUGGUUCAACAGUGAAAGACGGUCUUGCUGUCACUUAUAGAUGGAUCCGCGCCGCAUUAGCUAGUUGGUAAGGUAACGGCUUACCAAGGCAACGAUGCGUAGCCGACCUGAGAGGGUGAGCGGCCACACUGGAACUGAGACACGGUCCAGACUCCUACGGGAGGCAGCAGUAGGGAAUCUUCCGCAGUGGGCGAAAGCCUGACGGAGCAACGCCGCGUGAGUGAAGAAGGUCUUCGGAUCGUAAAACUCUGUUAUUAGGGAAGAACAAAUGUGUAAGUAACGAUGCACGUCUUGACGGUACCUAAUCAGAAAGCCACGGCUAACUACGU